AUGAACCCUGGCGGCGUGCCUAAUACAUGCAAGUCGAGCGAACGGACGAGAAGCUUGCUUCUCUGAUGUUAGCGGCGGACGGGUGAGUAACACGUGGAUAACCUACCUAUAAGACUGGGAUAACUUCGGGAAACCGGAGCUAAUACCGGAUAAUAUUUUGAACCGCAUGGUUCAAAAGUGAAAGACGGUCUUGCUGUCACUUAUAGAUGGAUCCGCGCUGCAUUAGCUAGUUGGUAAGGUAACGGCUUACCAAGGCAACGAUGCAUAGCCGACCUGAGAGGGUGAUCGGCCACACUGGAACUGAGACACGGUCCAGACUCCUACGGGAGGCAGCAGUAGGGAAUCUUCCGCAAUGGGCGAAAGCCUGACGGAGCAACGCCGCGUGAGUGAUGAAGGUCUUCGGAUCGUAAAACUCUGUUAUUAGGGAAGAACAUAUGUGUAAGUAACUGUGCACAUCUUGACGGUACCUAAUCAGAAAGCCACGGCUAACUACGUG
Molecule: ribosomal RNA, 496 nt
Filed under: uncultured bacterium
Lineage: Bacteria
Description: partial 16S ribosomal RNA
Rfam family: Bacterial small subunit ribosomal RNA
Source: RNAcentral